Carya illinoinensis is the source of this 1184-nucleotide long non-coding RNA. RefSeq lists it as uncharacterized. The transcript is spliced from 2 exons. The record is from RefSeq and is a predicted model, not a curated record. Lineage: Eukaryota; Viridiplantae; Streptophyta; Magnoliopsida; Fagales; Juglandaceae.
GAUUUUGUGGCGAUCAUGAAGAGUAGUAAAGCCGUAAACGCUGAAAAGUCCCGCGUUUUUUUUAAUUAUUCUUUAAGAGUGGAGUUUUUUUUUUUUUUUAAAUACAUAAAUACAGGAUUUCGAAUCUAAAUUUUAUAUUUAGAUAAUCGAAUUAUAUGUCUUCAUAAUUCAUACUAUUAAACUCUUAACUUUUAAGAGUAGAGUUUAUUGUUAUAAAAUUAAAUUUUUAUAUUAAUCUUAUAUUUAUUAUUAUUUUUGAAAUAAUAUACUAUAUUUAGAUGAAAGGAAAUAUAGUUUAAGUAAUAAUUUCCUACCAAAACAAUAGAAAAAGUUGGAUAUGUUUACUUUGGUAGCAGGGGCACUUUGGCGAACGUGUUGAAUAUUCUUUUGUAUAAAAAUCCUGUCCAAACUACCAUCUAUGAUCUAUCUUUUCCCUCGAAUUUCUCUCUUUCUGCUUCUCACCCUCUUCUCUCUGUCACGCUACUCUUCCCGCUUCACCAUUUUCUCUCCGUUCCUGUGUCCAGAAACUUGUGCUUCCGUUUCCUUGAUGGUUCCCGUAUUCUACUGGUUCCCUCUUCUCUCCGUCGUGCUUCUUGUUUUUCAUACUCGCCUCUCUCGAACACAUCCAUGGCACAGACCAUAUUUUUGAGGUUAGACUUCUCCAAGCCUCUGCAACCUCUUCCUCAAGCUUUGCAAUUACUGUCAUUAAUCAGAUGCGAUCAGAUUCUCCUUUUAGAUCCUUUAAAACAUCUUGGUCAGUUAGCACACACAGACAUACAUACUGAUGCAGGUUCAUGCUAUGGUCUUUUAGAACUUCAGGUCAUGAUCAUUGGAGAUACAAGCAUGUAGCAUGUAGGGUCAUCAUGCAGAGUCAUCAUCAUUGGUUGUUGUUGCUUGUAAGAGACUUUAUGUCAUUAUUGGUGAAAGCCAUCGCUUUUAUAUUUUUCAUUGGUACCCCUUUUCUUUCAGAGUAAUUAUUGUAACUUAAAAUCUACAUGGCUUGGACCAUUCAAUUAGUUCAGAAAAUUGCAGCGAAAAGACUAGCAAGAGCAGCCCCUUCAAAGCCACGUGGGAUGAAUCUACUGAACUCAUGCCCAUUUCUUAUUAUUUCAAGUUAGGAUUUUUUAUGCUGGCAAAAAGAUUAGCAAUGGCAGAUUUUUUAUGAUGGAGUUAUUAUUUUUUAA